AGAGUUUGAUCCUGGCUCAGAUUGAACGCUAGCGGGAUGCUUUACACAUGCAAGUCGAACGGCAGCGCGAGAGAACUUGCUCUCUUGGCGGCGAGUGGCGGACGGGUGAGUAAUAUAUCGGAACGUGCCCAGUAGCGGGGGAUAACAACUCGAAAGAGUNGCUAAUACCGCAUACGCCCAACGGGGGAAAGGGCGGGAUCGCAAGACCUCUAACUAUUGGAGCUGCCGAUAUCGGAUUAGCUAGUUGGUGGGCUAAAGGCUCACCACGGCAACGAUCCGUAGCUNGUUUGAGAGGACCACCAGCCANACUGGGACUCAGACACGGCCCAGACUCGUACGGGAGGCAGCAGUGGGNNAUUUUGGUCAAUGGGGGAAACCCUNAUGCAGCCAUCCCGCGUAUAUGAUGAAGGCCUUCGGCUUGUAAAGUACUUUUGGCAGAGAAGAAAAGGUAUCUCCUAAUACGAGAUNCUGCUGACGGUAUCUGCAGAAUAAGCACCGGCUAACUNCCUGCCAGCNGCCNCGGNNAUACGUAGGGUGCNAGCG
This 543-nucleotide ribosomal RNA is filed under the name uncultured bacterium. RNAcentral's name for it is "partial 16S ribosomal RNA". It matches the Rfam family "Bacterial small subunit ribosomal RNA", at positions 8 to 540 of the family's 1533-position model. The record is from RNAcentral.